CAGCGCCGCAAGUGGGGACCUCUUUUAUUGGGCCUAAAGCGUCCGUAGCUGGUUUGGUAAAUCUCUUGUGAAAUCGUUAAGCUCAACUUAACGGCGUGCAGGAGACACUGCCUAACUUGAGACUGGGAGAAGUAUAGAGUAUUCCGGGGGAACCGGUAAAAUGGGAUAAUCCUCGGAGGACUACCUGUGGCGAAGGCGCUAUACUAGAACGGAUCUGACAGUGAGGGACGAAGGCUAGGGGAGCAAACCGGAUUAGAUACCCGAGUAGUCC
RNAcentral lists this ribosomal RNA (271 nucleotides) under uncultured archaeon. RNAcentral describes it as "partial 16S ribosomal RNA". It matches the Rfam family "Archaeal small subunit ribosomal RNA", at positions 477 to 747 of the family's 1478-position model. The record is from RNAcentral.